UUCGGAUUGUAAAGUUCUGUUGUUAGGGACGAAUAAGUACCGUUCGAAUAGGACGGUACCUUGACGGUACCUGACGAGAAAGCCACGGCUAACUACGUGCCAGCAGCCGCGGUAAUACGUAGGUGGCAAGCGUUGUCCGGAUUUAUUGGGCGUAAAGCGCGCGUAGGCGGCUAUGUAAGUCUGGUGUUAAAGCCCGGGGCUCAACCCCGGUUCGCAUCGGAAACUGUGUAGCUUGAGUGCAGAAGAGGAAAGCGGUAUUCCACGUGUAGCGGUGAAAUGCGUAGAGAUGUGGAGGAACACCAGUGGCGAAGGCGGCUUUCUGGUCUGUAACUGACGCUGAGGCGCGAAAGCGUGGGGAGCAAACAGGAUUAGAUACCCUGGUAGUCCACGCCGUAAACGAUGAGUGCUAGGUGUUGGGGGUUUCAAUACCCUCAGUGCCGCAGCUAACGCAAUAAGCACUCCGCCUGGGGAGUACGCUCGCAAGAGUGAAACUCAAAGGAAUUGACGG
Molecule: ribosomal RNA, 508 nt
Filed under: uncultured bacterium
Lineage: Bacteria
Description: bacterial SSU rRNA
Rfam family: Bacterial small subunit ribosomal RNA
Source: RNAcentral